Molecule: ribosomal RNA, 466 nt
Filed under: uncultured bacterium
Lineage: Bacteria
Description: partial 16S ribosomal RNA
Rfam family: Bacterial small subunit ribosomal RNA
Source: RNAcentral
GACGAACGCUGGCGGCGUGCUUAACACAUGCAAGUCGAACGGAAAGGCCCUGCUUGCAGGGUACUCGAGUGGCGAACGGGUGAGUAACACGUGGGUGAUCUGCCCUGCACUUCGGGAUAAGCUUGGGAAACUGGGUCUAAUACCGGAUAGGAGCCAUCUUUAGUGUGGUGGUUGGAAAGUUUUUUCGGUGUAGGAUGAGCUCGCGGCCUAUCAGCUUGUUGGUGGGGUAAUGGCCUACCAAGGCGGCGACGGGUAGCCGGCCUGAGAGGGUGUACGGCCACAUUGGGAGUGAGAGACGGCCCAGACUCCUACGGGAGGCAGAAGUGGGGAAUAUUGCACAAUGGGCGCAAGCCUGAGGCAGCGAAGCCGCGUGGGGGAUGAAGGCCUUCGGGUUGUAAACUCCUUUCGCUAGGGACGAAGCGUUUUUGUGACGGUACCUAGAUAAGAAGCACCGGCUAACUACGUG